Non-coding RNA from Aspergillus taichungensis, 132 nucleotides. The record is from the annotation of a GenBank genome assembly. Lineage: Eukaryota; Fungi; Ascomycota; Eurotiomycetes; Eurotiales; Aspergillaceae.
GCCCGGGUAGCUUAGUUGGAAGAGCGUGGGACUUUUAUUCUCACGGAUUGAUCAGUUCUGGAUUGUAUAUCUUUCGUCCGAUAUAGAUUUGGUGCUAUCCCAAGGUCGCGGGUUCGAGCCCCGCCUCGGGCG